CACAACACUGGCUGAAAGUAUUUUUUGCAGUGUUCUGUUGUCGUCAAUUUUGUUUUUGUUGAUAAAAAAAUAAGAUAACAGUCGAUUAUUAACAAUAAUGUGAUUAAAUAAGUGGAACUUUGACGUUAAUAUAUUCCUUGUAAUUGUAAAUUCAUUCAGUCAUUUAGUUGUUCGAUUACGAAAUAGUCGUGCUGUAAAUUGCAUUUAAUAUUUUCAAGGACUAAGCUAAGGAAUAAAGAAUAUAAACAAGUUUUUAAAAUAUUAUUACGUGAUUAUCGCCUUACUUAUUUUUGGAGGGAAAUAAUAUUUUUACUUUUUAAACAUGGAUGUUAAGACAACGAAAAGUGUGAAAGUAAUUCCUAAACAAGUGUUUGCUGAGUUGCCACAGACUUAUACGCUAUCUCCAGAACAACAUAAAUUCUACCAUGACAAUGGAUAUCUGGUCAUAAAAAAACUGAUAGAUUUCGCAUCCCUGUAUAGUUAUAAGCAGCGCUUCAUCCAAAUAAGCAAAGGUGUAGUGGACAGAGGGAACAUCACGGUUGUCAAGGAACCCUCUUUGUUUGCCAAGGGACUGAAGGGCGAAGACCUAAUUAAUAAACUACAAGACAUCCUAUUCGACGAUGUUUUCGCCCAGUACAUAGAGAAUCCUGCCUUACUUCACGUCGUGUGCCAACUGGUGGGGGCAGACACACAAUACAACUUACCUCCCGGGGUAAAGAGUGAUCUGAAGUAUGGCGACAACAUCAGGGCGAUGCAUAGCAUGUUCAUCAACAAGCCUCCGGGCACCGGCCGCCAUCCGCCGCAUCAGGAUCUGUACUACUUCCCGUUCCGGCCCGCGCAUAAGAUCGUAGCGUCGUGGACGGCCGUGGACGCCGUGACCCGGGACAACGGGUGCUUGUACGUGGUGCCGGGCUCGCACCACCAGGGGCUUAUACACGCCCACGGCAACCUGGAGGACUCGAACAAGUUGUACCACGGCAUCAUAUCUGAGCUGGUGGUGGCUCCGGUCCAGUCCCGGAUACACCUGGAAAUGUCGCCCGGGGAUACUGUCUUCUUCCACCCCCUGCUGGUGCAUGGCUCCGGGCCCAAUGUUACUAAGAACUACCGCAAGUCGAUUUCGUGUCACUACGCGAACAGCGAGUGCCACUACGUGGACGUGGCUGGCUCCGUGCAGCAACACAUCGCUGAUGAAAUAGAAGCUGAAGCAAGGAGGAGGGGCUUCCAUAUCAACUUCCAGGAUUCCUUCCGCUACAGAAGCAAGCAAGUCAUGGGAGUGAAGUCAAACUUGUAAGCACUCAUCAUCCCCCUAGCAUUAUCCCGUUUCACUCAGGGUCCGUUUACUUAACCUGUAGAUAUGACAGGUCCGGUUUUUUACGAGAAAGCGACUGCCUGUCUGACCUUCCAACCCGCGAA
Molecule: unclassified non-coding RNA, 1413 nt
Filed under: Pectinophora gossypiella (pink bollworm)
Lineage: Eukaryota; Metazoa; Arthropoda; Insecta; Lepidoptera; Gelechiidae
Description: probable phytanoyl-CoA dioxygenase
Source: RNAcentral